Xiphophorus couchianus (Monterrey platyfish) is the source of this 1136-nucleotide long non-coding RNA. RefSeq lists it as uncharacterized. The record is from RefSeq and is a predicted model, not a curated record. Lineage: Eukaryota; Metazoa; Chordata; Actinopteri; Cyprinodontiformes; Poeciliidae. The transcript has 3 exons.
UUUCUCUUUUGUCUUUGGCUGAAAUCCAUGAGCCAUUUCUCCUGCUAGCGCUAGGCUAGCACUGUUUGUUUUGGUUGCAUUUACCCAGAAUACCCUGCGCUGUGGUCCACUUCCUUAUUUUGGAAGGAAUUACAACUUGAAUAAGAUGGACAGAUAAUCUGAUUCCAACUAAUUAAAUUAUGACUGGAUUAAACGGGAGUGGGUUAGGGUUAGGGUAGAUACAGAGUGAUACAGAGUAAGAUUUCAAUUUGAAUACGGUUUCAACUUCAUAAUUAGGACCAUGUUUUUAAGAGUUAAACUGCCACCUAACUGAAUGAUAUACAAGAUUAUUUUUUUUUAAAUAAGCCACUUUUAGCUGAAUAAUAUUUACAAAACAAAUUUAAUCACACUCCUUUAAAAAUAUAAAUCAGAUUUUACUUUUAGACAUGUUAAUAACCAGUCUGAUUCAGAUUGACUGGUGACUGUAACUCACUCCAACCUUUGAAAAAGCCAAGAUAAGAACAGCCCUGAAAGCUUAAAUAGCAAUUAUCUACAUUUGUCUUUUAUUUCUGGUGUUUUUUUCAACUUCAAAAAUACUUUAUUAAUCCUAAAGGAAAAUUAAAUGCAUUCAACUCAUUAUCCAAGAUUCUCCAAAGAGUUGUUAUACAUGCUAAUUAGCAAGCGCUAACAGUAUCUUUAAUGAUCUGAUGUACUGUAUGCCCAUGUUUUUAUAUCGGUGAAUCUAAACUCCGAAUAUUCCCAUCACAACCUCUUAGAGGUCUGAACUGGAACAAAGUAACAAAAAUUAGCCCAGAAUUCAGGUUUAUGACGCACCGCACCUUUAAUUUGUGUCCAACAUGAAGUGUCUUUGUAUCAUUCAAAAACUAUUUCAAUGCUCCAUUAAAUCAAACAACAACAAUUGUUUCGACUUAUCUGUGUUUGGACAUUUUAAUAAGAUAAUUACUGUAAAACAACACGUGAUAUUUUUACCAAGUCGCCCAUCCCUAAUCUCAGAGCAGACAGCAGUAACAACAGGUUUAAUGAAAGCACAAAGCUGGCAGCAGCUACACAACUUUAACAUUAUAAAACACUUUAUCAAGCUUCACAGUAAGUUUAAAACGGAAGAUAUGUGUAAGAAAAAGUAGAUUUUAACAACA